AGAAUCAACGCUGGCGGCGUGCCUCAGACAUGCAAGUCGAACGAUUAAAGCUCUCUUCGGAGAGUGUAUAGAGUGGCGCACGGGUGAGUAACACGUAAGUAAUCUACCUUCGAGUGGGGAAUAACCCGGGGAAACCGAGCUAAUACCGCAUAAUGCAGCGGCAUCUAAUGAUGACAGUUGUUAAAGAUUUAUCGCUUGAAGAGGAGCUUGCGGCAGAUUAGCUAGUUGGUAAGGUAAUGGCUUACCAAGGCUACGAUCUGUAACCGGUCUAAGAGGACGGUCGGUCACACUGACACUGAAUAACGGGUCAGACUCCUACGGAGGCAGCAGUCGGGAAUUUUGGCAAUGGCGAAAGCCUGACCCAGCAACGCCGCGUGAAGGAUGAAGUAUUUCGGUAUGUAAACUUCGAAAGAAUAGGGAAGAAGUAAAGUAGACGGUAACCAGUUUUAAGUAAAGGUCCGACUUAACUACGUUAGACCAGCAAGCCGC
This 489-nucleotide ribosomal RNA is filed under the name uncultured soil bacterium. RNAcentral's name for it is "bacterial SSU rRNA". It matches the Rfam family "Bacterial small subunit ribosomal RNA", at positions 26 to 518 of the family's 1533-position model. The record is from RNAcentral.